This 439-nucleotide long non-coding RNA is filed under the name Gallus gallus (chicken). The record is from RNAcentral. Lineage: Eukaryota; Metazoa; Chordata; Aves; Galliformes; Phasianidae.
CUGCUUUUAUCGCCAUCCAUUUCCUUUGUUAUGUAACUGACUAAAAAUCUUUUUGUGUUGCUUUCCACAGAAUCUCAUGCAUCUGCUUUUUCAAAUGUUCUCCGGUUUUCCUAUUAACUUUUUUUUUUUUUUUUCUGUGAACAUAACAAGAAGAGUAUGGGACUAUAUGGGAGCUACAAAGGAAAUGCUCUGCAGAUCUUCACCAAGUGAUGCACCUGUUUUAGCGUACUUGAUUUGUUCAGCUUUUUGCUUCCUAUUCAGCUACCAUAACUCCACGACUGAAGUCACAGUUCACCUUUUCAGCCUUCCAAGGUGCAGUCAUCAGCAUUCUCACACCAUGUCAGGAACAAAGCUACUGAGCCAGACAGAUGUAAUUCUCAUUGUAGACAUCCAGAAUGGAAGUAAACGGACACUAUCAUCAGUGCUAAUGCUAGCCUGC